This 382-nucleotide unclassified non-coding RNA is filed under the name soil metagenome. RNAcentral's name for it is "partial contains 5.8S ribosomal RNA, internal transcribed spacer 2, and large subunit ribosomal RNA". The stretch from base 1 to 119 matches the Rfam family "5.8S ribosomal RNA", at positions 35 to 154 of the family's 154-position model. The record is from RNAcentral.
GAUGAAGAAGCAGCGAAAUGCGAUAAGUAAUGUGAAUUGCAGAAUUCAGUGAAUCAUCGAAUCUUUGAACGCACCUUGCGCUCCUUGGUAUUCCGAGGAGCAUGCCUGUUUGAGUGUCAUGAAAUUCUCAACCUUUCUGGCUUUUGCUAGUCAGGCUUGGAUUAUGGGAGCUGCUGGCUUUUGAAGUCGGCUCUUCUAAAAUGUAUUAGCAAGAUCAUUGCUGCUCAUCAUUGGUAUGAUAAUUAUCUAUAUCAUUGAGAGUCAGUUUCCUUUAUUGGAAGAUUUUGCUCCUAACGGUCUUUAGCAAGACAACAUUUGACGAUUUUGACCUCAAAUCAGGUAGGACUACCCGCUGAACUUAAGCAUAUCAAUAAGCGGAGGA